Molecule: ribosomal RNA, 506 nt
Filed under: uncultured bacterium
Lineage: Bacteria
Description: partial 16S ribosomal RNA
Rfam family: Bacterial small subunit ribosomal RNA
Source: RNAcentral
AUUGAACGCUGGCGGCAGGCCUAACACAUGCAAGUCGAACGGUAACAGGAAACAGCUUGCUGUUUCGCUGACGAGUGGCGGACGGGUGAGUAAUGUCUGGGAAACUGCCUGAUGGAGGGGGAUAACUACUGGAAACGGUAGCUAAUACCGCAUAACGUCGCAAGACCAAAGAGGGGGACCUUCGGGCCUCUCGCCAUCGGAUGUGCCCAGAUGGGAUUAGCUAGUAGGUGGGGUAACGGCUCACCUAGGCGACGAUCCCUAGCUGGUCUGAGAGGAUGACCAGCCACACUGGAACUGAGACACGGUCCAGACUCCUACGGGAGGCAGCAGUGGGGAAUAUUGCACAAUGGGCGCAAGCCUGAUGCAGCCAUGUCGCGUGUAUGAAGAAGGCCUUCGGGUUGUAAAGUACUUUCAGCGGGGAGGAAGGGAGUAAAGUUAAUACCUUUGCUCACUGACGUUACCCGCAGAAGAAGCACCGGCUAACUCCGUGCCAGCCGCCGCAGUAA